Long non-coding RNA from Equus asinus (donkey), 1581 nucleotides. The record is from Ensembl. NCBI's taxonomy places the organism in Eukaryota, Metazoa, Chordata, Mammalia, Perissodactyla, Equidae.
GACCUGCAUCCUCCCGCUUCAUUUUCUGGUUAGUGGGACGUGCCCUGCCGUUACUACUGCGAUUCUAGAAUUGAGAAAAGGAGGCACAGAGAGCUAAGUAACUUGACAACAGUCGUGAUGAGGACCAGAGUCUCCCUAGGACACAGACAACCCCUGAGUGAUGGGGAUGGGGCUUGGGUGCAGGGACCUGGAAGAAGGCAGGUGCCAGGGAAGGGACAGGAACAGGGAGGCCACCCAGAGGCCAGCAAAUGCUGGAGCUACUUCCUUGUGGGCCUGAGCCUGGGGGACCUGCGGGGUCAGGGCCAGGGAGCCACGGAGGGAACAGCCGGACGCUUGGCUCUGGGGGCGCAUACUGGCCGUCACCGCCCUGGACACAUGGUGAGAAGGAGCCCAGUGGUGUCUGACCCGAGAACACAUGGAUGCCCACGGACUUCCACGAGCCCAGGAUAAUUGACCAUGGUGUGGAGAGGAGAUUGGACGAGGACUAUAGAUGAGAAGAUGCAGAGAUGAUGAGCAGAAUGGGAUUGCCUGUUCCAGAGUGUCUCCAUGGACUUCAUCUCCUUGUGCCUCCUAUGAACAUCUUCCUGGGGCUUUCAGAACCAGGGCAGCAUCGGGGGCAACAUCAGGAACUUGAUGGGGCCAUGCGCUGGGUUAGACAGUAUCCUCCUCAAAUUCACGUCCACUUGGAUCCUCAGAAUAGGACCUUAUCUGGAGAUCUGGUCCGUGUAGAUAUAGUCAAGAUGAGGUUGUGCUGGAUUAGAGUUGGCCCUAAUUCAAUGACUGGAGUCCUCAUAUGACAAAGGAAGAGAGACUGAGACACUGACACGCAGGAGAGGAAGGCCACGUGAGGACAGAGUUAGAGGUCUGUUAGAACCGAGGAACGCCGAGGAGCGCCAGGGCCCCUGGAAGCUAAAAGAGGCAAUGAGGGGUCCUCCCCUAGAGACCCCCCAGAGGGGAGCACGGCCCUGCUGACACCUUGAUUUUGGACUUUUGGCUUCUGGAACUGGGAGAGAACACGUUUCUAUUGCUUUAAGCCACACACUUUGCAGUCAUUUGUUCCAGCAGCCACAGAAAACGAGUGUAGGCAGCAGCAACGGACACAGCCACAAAGCCAAGGCCUUGUCCCCAUCAUCUGCACCUGACACAGAGACAGACGGCAUUGUUAUUUUCCAGGGACCGUGUGAGGGGAAUCAGGAACUAAAGAAAAGAUGCAACACUGUGACACCACUGAGGUUAUCCUAAGAUUAAACAAACAAACAAAGGCAGUUUCCCUGGGGAAAUGGCACACACAGGAACCAGGAAGUGACCACGUGCCCAGCAUCACAGCUGACUCUGGACAAGGAUAUAAAGGCUCUGGGCCCAGGAGAGUCCACACCUGACCCUCCCUUCUCUACCUGAUCCUCUGACCUGCUCCACCCUCAACCCACCAGAACCAUGGGCUGCUGUGGCUGCGGCUCCAGCUGUGGGGGCUGUGGCUCCAGCUGCUGUGUGCCCGUGUGCUGCUGCAAGCCCGUGUGCUGCUGUGUGCCAGCCUGUUCCUGCUCCAGCUGUGGCAAAGGGGGCUGUGGCUCCUGUGGGGGC